Molecule: ribosomal RNA, 253 nt
Filed under: uncultured bacterium
Lineage: Bacteria
Description: partial 16S ribosomal RNA
Rfam family: Bacterial small subunit ribosomal RNA
Source: RNAcentral
UACGUAGGUGGCAAGCGUUGUCCGGAAUUAUUGGGCGUAAAGCGCGCGCAGGCGGUCCUUUAAGUCUGAUGUGAAAGCCCACGGCUCAACCGUGGAGGGUCAUUGGAAACUGGGGGACUUGAGUACAGAAGAGGAAAGCGGAAUUCCACGUGUAGCGGUGAAAUACGUAGAGAUGUGGAGGAACACCAGUGGCGAAGGCGGCUUUCUGGUCUGUAACUGACGCUGAGGCGCGAAAGCGUGGGGAGCAAACAGG